AGAGUUUGAUCAUGGCUCAGGAUGAACGCUGGCGGCGUGCCUAAUACAUGCAAGUCGAGCGAAUGGAUUAAGAGCUUGCUCUUAUGAAGUUAGCGGCGGACGGGUGAGUAACACGUGGGUAACCUGCCCAUAAGACUGGGAUAACUCCGGGAAACCGGGGCUAAUACCGGAUAACAUUUUGCACUGCAUGGUGCGAAAUUGAAAGGCGGCUUCGGCUGUCACUUAUGGAUGGACCCGCGUCGCAUUAGCUAGUUGGUGAGGUAACGGCUCACCAAGGCAACGAUGCGUAGCCGACCUGAGAGGGUGAUCGGCCACACUGGGACUGAGACACGGCCCAGACUCCUACGGGAGGCAGCAGUAGGGAAUCUUCCGCAAUGGACGAAAGUCUGACGGAGCAACGCCGCGUGAGUGAUGAAGGCUUUCGGGUCGUAAAACUCUGUUGUUAGGGAAGAACAAGUGCUAGUUGAAUAAGCUGGCACCUUGACGGUACCUAACCA
This 497-nucleotide ribosomal RNA is filed under the name Bacillus mycoides. RNAcentral describes it as "bacterial SSU rRNA". It matches the Rfam family "Bacterial small subunit ribosomal RNA", at positions 8 to 485 of the family's 1533-position model. The record is from RNAcentral. Lineage: Bacteria; Bacillati; Bacillota; Bacilli; Caryophanales; Bacillaceae.